GACGAACGCUGGCGGCGUGCCUAAUACAUGCAAGUAGAACGCUGAAGCUUGGUGCUUGCACCGAGCGGAUGAGUUGCGAACGGGUGAGUAACGCGUAGGUAACCUGCCUGGUAGCGGGGGAUAACUAUUGGAAACGAUAGCUAAUACCGCAUAAGAGUAGAUGUUGCAUGACAUUUGCUUAAAAGGUGCAAUUGCAUCACUACCAGAUGGACCCGCGUUGUAUUAGCUAGUUGGUGAGGUAACGGCUCACCAAGGCAACGAUACAUAGCCGACCUGAGAGGGUAAUCCGCCACACUGGGACUGAGACACGGCCCAGACUCCUACGGGAGGCAGCAGUAGGGAAUCUUCGGCAAUGGACGGAAGUCUGACCGAGCAACGCCGCGUGAGUGAAGAAGGUUUUCGGAUCGUAAAGCUCUGUUGUAAGAGAAGAACGAGUGUGAGAGUGGAAAGUUCACACUGUGACGGUAUCUUACCAGAAAGGGACGGCUAACUACGUG
RNAcentral lists this ribosomal RNA (497 nucleotides) under uncultured bacterium. RNAcentral describes it as "partial 16S ribosomal RNA". It matches the Rfam family "Bacterial small subunit ribosomal RNA", at positions 28 to 507 of the family's 1533-position model. The record is from RNAcentral.